GUAGGCGGCAAGCGUUGUCCGGAAUUAUUGGGCGUAAAGCGCGCGCAGGCGGUUCUUUAAGUCUGAUGUGAAAGCCCACGGCUCGACCGUGGAGGGUCAUUGGAAACUGGAGAACUUGAGUACAGAAGAGGAAAGCGGAAUUCCACGUGUAGCGGUGAAAUGCGUAGAGAUGUGGAGGAACACCAGUGGCGAAGGCGGCUUUCUGGUCUGUAACUGACGCUGAGGCGCGAAAGCGUGGGGAGCAAACAGGGAUUAGAUACCCUGGUAGUCCACGCCGUAAACGAUGAGUGCUAAGUGUUAGGGGGGUUUCCGCCCCCUUAGUGCUGCAGCUAACGCAUUAAGCACUCCGCCUGGGGAGUACGGCCGCAAGGCUG
Molecule: ribosomal RNA, 374 nt
Filed under: uncultured organism
Description: partial 16S ribosomal RNA
Rfam family: Bacterial small subunit ribosomal RNA
Source: RNAcentral